GUGGCUAAUACCGCAUAACGUCGCAAGACCAAAGAGGGGGACCUUCGGGCCUCUUGCCAUCAGAUGUGCCCAGAUGGGAUUAGCUAGUUGGUGAGGUAACGGCUCACCAAGGCGACGAUCCCUAGCUGGUCUGAGAGGAUGACCAGCCACACUGGAACUGAGACACGGUCCAGACUCCUACGGGAGGCAGCAGUGGGGAAUAUUGCACAAUGGGCGCAAGCCUGAUGCAGCCAUGCCGCGUGUAUGAAGAAGGCCUUCGGGUUGUAAAGUACUUUCAGCGGGGAGGAAGGUGUUGUGGUUAAUAACCGCAGCAAUUGACGUUACCCGCAGAAGAAGCACCGGCUAACUCCGUGCCAGCAGCCGCGGUAAUACGGAGGGUGCAAGCGUUAAUCGGAAUUACUGGGCGUAAAGCGCACGCAGGCGGUCUGUCAAGUCGGAUGUGAAAUCCCCGGGCUCAACCUGGGAACUGCAUUCGAAACUGGCAGGCUUGAGUCUUGUAGAGGGGGGUAGAAUUCCAGGUGUAGCGGUGAAAUGCGUAGAGAUCUGGAGGAAUACCGGUGGCGAAGGCGGCCCCCUGGACAAAGACUGACGCUCAGGUGCGAAAGCGUGGGGAGCAAACAGGAUUAGAUACC
This 632-nucleotide ribosomal RNA is filed under the name Salmonella enterica. RNAcentral's name for it is "bacterial SSU rRNA". It matches the Rfam family "Bacterial small subunit ribosomal RNA", at positions 159 to 786 of the family's 1533-position model. The record is from RNAcentral. Lineage: Bacteria; Pseudomonadati; Pseudomonadota; Gammaproteobacteria; Enterobacterales; Enterobacteriaceae.